Lolium perenne is the source of this 1580-nucleotide long non-coding RNA. RefSeq lists it as uncharacterized. NCBI's taxonomy places the organism in Eukaryota, Viridiplantae, Streptophyta, Magnoliopsida, Poales, Poaceae. The record is from RefSeq and is a predicted model, not a curated record.
AGGCGGGGCAACGGGGCGACCGCCCUGGGCCCUCUGGAGGCAGGGGCCCCGGCCCAGGUACUAGUCCAGCACACCAGGCAACCAUCGGCAUCGUUACUUCCCGAGAAAAAAUCAAGGAUGAGCACGACGCAUCGUUUUCUUAUCCUCUGGACCUGAGUCGCAUCGUUGACUCGCGUCCGCCCACGCCCAGCCCUCUCCAAAUUCUCCAAUCAGGACGGCGGCGUCGCCUCAAAUCUUGCUCUUUCCUUUCCAAUUUCAAGAUCACUGAUUCUCCGCAUCUAUUGAUGGGCAGGGCAAUGGUGCUAUUUGGUUCCCCAAUCACCUCUCUUUCUUUCCAUUCCCAAGAACAGGACCACAUCAACGAUGAGAGAUGGCUCGUUCUUGAGAUCCUCAAGGGUCAAUUGGAUCUGAGCGUGAGGAGACAAAGCAGUGAGAAAAUUUGGAGAAGAAGAGGGGACGGGGAAUCAGCGAGGCGAUCUUCCCCUUUUGUCUUCAUGCUGAGUAUUGCAAGCUGCAAAUCAAUAAAUCUUCAUCGGCAGUUCGACAUAUCCAGGUGCUUUUGUUCCCUGUAUUGACUGUUUUUUGCAAAUUAUUUCCGUGACAUGUUGCCUAGAAAAAGUUUGUCUGUAAACGUGAAAAGGAGAAGAAAAAAGAGAGAGAUGAAUUGGUAGAAUCUCAGAGAGGCUCGAUUGACAAUUUUUUUAGAACCGGUAGUUCUUCCAGGAAUUCCCUGCAAUUAGCCCUAGUUAAUGUUGAAGAGCAGCACACUGAGAAUUUAGGCGAUGAUUAUGAUACCAACGAGGUCGAUAAUAAUUUUAGUCAGCAUGAAAAUCUAGUUGAUUCACCGAAUUCGGAAAUUCCAAGUGUCGAUGAACAACAACCUUUUACUACUGAUAUUCUUGAUCCACGACAUUGGGACAAUUUGGAUGAUAAAUCUAGGCAUACUUUAAUUGAAAUGGGGCUUGUAAGCCUAGGAAACUGAACAAGUGCUAAAUUUGCUUUACUAUUUCUUAUGUAGGUAUCUUUGGAGAAUUUUUAUUCUGGUGAACAUAGCAGAUUGAAGGGAUAGAAUAUGAUAUUGAGUGAUGAAAUGAUGGUCACCUUCUGGCAUUUAGAAGAUCGAUCUUUUGUAUAGCUACAAUCUAUUCCUUCUAUCAUUACGUGGUUCUCUGGAAUUAAUGUUGCGAAUAUAUGUCUUGUGGGAGUUUUGUAGUUUAAAAGACCAUCGAUAUAAGUUAUGUACUCAGUUUCUCUUGAAAUAUAAUGCAUUCUGAAAGAAAAAAAAAUAACAACAAGGGCCCUUUUUGUUGUCUCGCCCCAGGGCCCUGAAUAUGUAUGGACCGGCCCUGCGCCCAGCAGCCAGAAGCACACGCCCAGAUCCACCGAGGGAAAUAGAGCGGCGCAGCCACCGGCUCCCAGAUGCGUGGUCGAUGGUCGAGAAGACCACCUCCCCAAGCCAAAAUCUAGAGCCGAUUUAUUGAAGACCGCCACCAUGGUUGGCAGAGCAAGAACGGCGGCGAGCCAUAUCCUAAGAAAGUAAACUAAACCUAGUCUACUUCUAUACAGAUCCGCACGGUGGC